This is a long non-coding RNA of Alligator mississippiensis (American alligator), 486 nucleotides long. RefSeq lists it as uncharacterized. The transcript has 2 exons. NCBI's taxonomy places the organism in Eukaryota, Metazoa, Chordata, Crocodylia, Alligatoridae. The record is from RefSeq and is a predicted model, not a curated record.
ACAGGCUAAAAGAAAAAAGAAAGCCUUGAUUAAAACUGCACUUGAAACACGAGAUUCUUCACGUCCAAGAUGCAGCUCCCACAAUGGAAAGACAAAGUUAUUCGAGCCAGAAACAUGGGGUCAGAGAGUGCAUCUGAUUUGCACAACUGCACAGCAACUUGCAUCGGCCUGUUAGAGGCAGAGGAGUAGCUGGAACAUCAGGGGAACCACAGCCGGCUCCAACUUUCUUCAGGCAAAACUUCCUGACUCCUCACUAUUGUGAAGCGGUAACAAUCCCUGUAACGUAAUGCCCCUGCUGGCAUCACCUUGUCCAGGGCAGGUGAUUCACUGGUUGGUCACUUCGCCGGGGUCACCCGACUCCAGUUGUCUUUCCUGCCUGGUGCAGGGGGCUGGACCCAAUGAUCCUCCGAGGUUCCUUCCAGCCCUUCGCAAUCUAUGAAUAUAUAUUUCUGUAGCAUGUGUCUAAUAAAACAGACGCGUCUCUGU